GUGUAUAUGCCUGUAAUUGUCUUCAUGGGUAAUUGGGUAUGUGUUUCUGUCUUACAAGUUCAUUAUCAAUAUUUGAAAAUCAAAGUCCCUUCAAAUGUAACUUAUAUAUUUUGGAUAUUCCUUCAUCUUAUUCUUUGUUGGAGAGUUAAUAUUGAAAUUAGACAUGGACAGUGUGGUCCUUUUUCCGCGUAUGGACAAUUCAUAUGAUUGAAUUCUGUCUAGGUUGUAUUUAUCUUCUUCCAACUGUAAUGCUGAUGUGACUUUCUUUUUGGGUUAAGAGGAAAAUGCUCAAUGCACUUCACAUUGCAUUUGAUUGUGGACUUAUUCUAUUUUUAUUAAAUGCAAAUGCAAACACAAAUUGCUCCCCAAGUUCAUAAAUUUCUGAUUUUUGCUCUAAUCAUGUGCUUCUUUAUGAAUUUAGAGCAGUAUGGGAUAAAAUUAUCCCUUCAGGAAUUCAAAGAAUUUGAUGGGUUGAAAGAUGAUUACGGAAUCAAUUGGCAUUUAGAUCUGAAAUUGAUAGUUGAUGAUUUGUUGUCGUUGGUUUAAACAACUUAUUUUCACACGGUUAUGUUGAAGCACCUGCUUUUUAGAAGUGAUGAACAUAUAUACUAUUUUAUAUUUUGACAUUAUAGGCAAUGGAACAAGUAAUUCACCAAUAUCCUGUUUAGUACAGAAAAUAGGAACCUUUACUUUUUCUUUCUUCGGAAAGUCAUUGAAGAUACUAUUGAAGCUCACAACGGAUAGGAAGUACUUAGAACAUCCUAACUUUUAGUGCAUUUCGUUUAAGGCUUCAAACAUUCAUAAUUUCACGAGAAAGACGCGUCAGAAGUUAUGAUUUUGUGCCCAUCAUUAGUUAAUGAAAACAAUGGAUUUACACGAUGUCAAAUUAUCAUGACCACUCCAUGGAUUCUUAAUAUGUGGUUUGAUGCCAUCCUCUCUUGUAUGCUUAUAGUUUUAUUUCUAUCAUCAAAACCCUUCAUAAUUGUUUUGAUGGAUUUCCAAAUUUACAAGGUAGUAUAUAUUUUAUGCUUAUGACUUCUGGACCUGUCUACAGAUUAAUGAAAUAUGUAUCAACAGAAGGGUGUUCAUAUCUGAAGCUUAGUUCAUAGUACUCCAUUAGUUCGUAGUCAGCCAUUAGACUGUGGUGCCAGUUCAAUGGAUCCCNUCAACUAAGUAAACAAUGCUAAUAACAUUCCUAAUCUAGCCUCUAAGCAGUGGCUUUGUUGGACUCACGAGCUUCGUGAACGGUUUGUCAAUGCCAUGGCACAACUUGGUGGAUAAGAUCGUGAGUCAUCUUGACUACCAUUUAGCUAACUCCCUCAAAGUUCCCGUAACGCAUGAAAGAAAGAUAAAAGCGACAUUUUAGCUCUAAGUUUUAUUCGUGUGCUUUCAUAUUGACUUUCAAAUAGUGAUAAUGAACUUGUGUCAUGUUCCCAAAUAUAUAUUAAUUGAUGAGUUUUUGAGCUUUAAACUUUUGUUUCUUGUCUUCAUGCUAUGUACAUUUUCAAUUUGGUGAUACAAUCUCAUGCUUGCUUAUGUUCCCAAAUUCAUGAUUAUAAUAAAUGAUUGAAUAGGAGUUAAUAUUUAUUGUGAUGGAGAGAUACAUGUGAAGGUAUUGUAGAUACACUCAUUUGGUACAUCUGAUAAGGUGUUAAUAUGCUGUUGUAGGAUGGAAAGACGUUUUCCAAGGAAUACGAAGC
This 1700-nucleotide long non-coding RNA is filed under the name Olea europaea subsp. europaea. The record is from RNAcentral. Lineage: Eukaryota; Viridiplantae; Streptophyta; Magnoliopsida; Lamiales; Oleaceae.